GUGGCUUGUGUAUGGUGAAACUGACUUGAAACUAGUGGGGUUCACUGACUCCAACUUUCAAUCAGACCAAGAUGAUAGCAAGAGUGUGUCAGAUUAUAUUUUUAUCUUGAACGGUGGAGCAAUCUGUUGGAAAAGUUCUAAGUAGCACAUCAUGGCUGACACUAUUUGCAAGGCAGAGUAUAUCGUGGCAUCCGAUGCUGC
This 201-nucleotide long non-coding RNA is filed under the name Elaeis guineensis (African oil palm). RNAcentral's name for it is "long non-coding RNA (EGUI_LNC077067)". Lineage: Eukaryota; Viridiplantae; Streptophyta; Magnoliopsida; Arecales; Arecaceae. The record is from RNAcentral.